ACACGAGCGGCGAACGGGUGAGUAACACGUGGGUGAUCUGCCCUGCACUUCGGGAUAAGCCUGGGAAACUGGGUCUAAUACCGGAUAUGACCUUCGGCUGCAUGGCUGAGGGUGGAAAGGUUUACUGGUGCAGGAUGGGCCCGCGGCCUAUCAGCUUGUUGGUGGGGUAAUGGCCUACCAAGGCGACGACGGGUAGCCGACCUGAGAGGGUGACCGGCCACACUGGGACUGAGACACGGCCCAGACUCCUACGGGAGGCAGCAGUGGGGAAUAUUGCACAAUGGGCGAAAGCCUGAUGCAGCGACGCCGCGUGAGGGAUGACGGCCUUCGGGUUGUAAACCUCUUUCAGCAGGGACGAAGCGAAAGUGACGGUACCUGCAGAAGAAGCACCGGCUAACUACGUGCCAGCAGCCGCGGUAAUACGUAGGGUGCAAGCGUUGUCCGGAAUUACUGGGCGUAAAGAGUUCGUAGGCGGUUUGUCGCGUCGUUUGUGAAAACUCACAGCUCAACUGUGAGCCUGCAGGCGAUACGGGCAGACUUGAGUACUGCAGGGGAGACUGGAAUUCCUGGUGUAGCGGUGAAAUGCGCAGAUAUCAGGAGGAACACCGGUGGCGAAGGCGGGUCUCUGGGCAGUAACUGACGCUGAGGAACGAAAGCGUGGGUAGCAAACAGGAUUAGAUACCCUGGUAGUCCACGCCGUAAACGGUGGGCGCUAGGUGUGGGUUCCUUCCACGGGAUCUGUGCCGUAGCU
RNAcentral lists this ribosomal RNA (751 nucleotides) under Rhodococcus sp. (in: high G+C Gram-positive bacteria). RNAcentral describes it as "bacterial SSU rRNA". It matches the Rfam family "Bacterial small subunit ribosomal RNA", at positions 89 to 853 of the family's 1533-position model. Lineage: Bacteria; Bacillati; Actinomycetota; Actinomycetes; Mycobacteriales; Nocardiaceae. The record is from RNAcentral.